RNAcentral lists this long non-coding RNA (2327 nucleotides) under Homo sapiens (human). RNAcentral's name for it is "non-protein coding lnc-NTRK3-6:1". The record is from RNAcentral. Lineage: Eukaryota; Metazoa; Chordata; Mammalia; Primates; Hominidae.
UGGUGGCUCGUGCUAUUGCUAAUGUCAGAAUUGCUAUCUUCUAUUAGGCUUCUAAGCUGGUUCAUCACCUGUGCAAAUUCUGCAUUAAAGUCAUUCUGCUUAAAUAUUCAUGUGGCAUCUGAAUCCCAGUUAGGUCCUGACUAAUAUAGUGCUUGAGUAAUUGGCCAAAGUUCACAUAGCAAUUAGUUAAGCUUGGAUUUCAAGCCUUAUGUUUGACUGUGGAAACUCUGCUAUAUACAGUAGUCUGAUACCACCUUCUAAUCUUGUUCUGGUUUUCAGAUUCUCUAUACAGGCUGACCCCUAUGGCCUACUAAGAAUGAAUAAUUAAAACUCUAGGAAUCCCAGGUAAGUCUUUCAGGCAAAUUUUAUGUUUUUGGCCACAAAUACAGACUUAAUGUGGCAUAUAAUAAAACAUAAUAAAAUACGUGACAUAUUAUAGGCUCAUGCUCCUCUGUUAUAUUUGUGGUUGAAUUAGAACUAUGUCAUAAGGUUACCAGGGAAUAAGAAAACAUUACAGACACGUGCACUUGGUCAUCAUUACCCUGUUUUUCUGAUCCCUGUAACUCGCCCUUCUUAGCUCUCUUUGGUCAAAAUCGUGCCCAGUUUUCUUGUCUAUCUUGUUGACAAGUGCAGACUCUAUCACUGUCCCCAGUUGUGCCAAAUCCAUGAUAGUUAUCACCUACUUUGUUUUACCCCAUCAGGUGCUCUGGUGGUGAAUAUAAAGACAGUCCCCUGAGAAACCAGGGUUUUAAAUUCCCGCUGUGAGACGUCUAUGUGUAUCCCUGUGACAAACUUGAUUUUGCCCUCUUCUUGUUUUGUUUCUACAGGGUUUGUUGGAGUUCAGGGUUGUCGCUGAGUGGUGGAAAUAUUGUUCUCAACCAAAAAAAAAAAAAAAAAUGUGGGGAUUACAUGCCAGUACCAUCCACCCCUGCAUUAGAAGUUUUCAUCGAAGAGCUUCAUUUCACAAGGUACUAUUUUUCCUUUCAUAGCAUUUGCCACAAAUGCAUUUUAUUUAUUCAUUUAUUCCUUGUUGUUUCUCUCCCUUCACACUGUUAACUCCAUGAGAACAGAGUUUAUUUUCUCCACCUCUGUAUAUAGGAGAGUGUCUGGCAUAGUAGGGAAGCCAGAGAUAUUUGUUGCUUGAACAAAAGUAAAUGCAUAAGUUGAGUGAACAGAUGGCUGCAGGUCAAACAUUAUACAAUAUCGAACACCUUCUCUCUGUGCACUUCUGAGCCCUCCCCACCUUUCCUCAGACAGGAAUGAGAAGCACAGGCAGUCCCAAGCUAGUCCUCGGCCAUAGUUUGAUCUCUGCCAUAUACUAAGCAAUGUUGCUUCUGACUUUUCUUCGGGAGCCCUUAUGGUCCAUGAAUUCUAGAUGAAAUGAAAUCUGGAAAAAGAAGAUUGUUUCUACAUGUUAGAGGUAGAAUAAAUGAAAAAGGAAAAAUAUUGUGUAUUAGGAAUAAACAAUGAUAGCAACAAUGGUAGUAUCAUAUUCGCCCUGGGUUUAAGUCAAUUCUUUAUCACUUAUAAGCUGUGUUACCUAAGACAAGACAUUUAGCUGCUCCAACUUCCAUUCUUUUUCUCACAUGUAAAAUGUCAGUGAUAAUUGUACCUUCUUUUACUAAUUCAUGCAUUUCUGAGGGAUUUAAAGGUGGGUUUUCCAGGCAUGUUCUCACUCCCAAGUGACCCCUUUUUUCCCUCACCUUUUUCUCUUCUCUCACAAAAGCUCCAGGUUUUUAAUACAUUGCCCUCACCCAACUUACAAAAAAUAAUUCUCUCAAGUGUCACUUUCCCUCAAUGAUGGGAGUGACUUGUGAUUGAUUUAUGUCCUUCCCAGGGUAAUUUAUAUUUUUAAAUUGGACAAAGGGAUAUAAUUUCAAUGGUAGAACUUUAGGGUGGGUUAUAAACUCAUUGGGAAGUUGUCUAUGUCCUGGGAGCAUACAUAGAGUCUCUCAAAUUAAAUCACAAAUAACUGCCUUUCUCAUAAGUAUCUAAGGCCAAGUCUGCUUGGUUGAUCAACCUCUGAACAUGUGGUACAUAGCACUCACCAAAGGUGCUAUUGAUAUGUUCUGAUGUACACUGCGAAUGUUUCCUAAAUAGAUAAAGUGCAAGGCAUGUGAUAGGAGUUCUCAAUAAAUAAUAACCCAUGUCCUUCAUGGGGCACAGUGGUCCCACUGUCCGGUCUGGCUGCUUGAAAAGUAAACUUGAAGAAAGUUAUAACUCGUAAGGAAAGUAAAAUUAUCUAAGGUUAGACUAUGGGCCUCAGAUGACAGCUGAGGGCAGAGCUUUUCCAAGAAAGGAUUAUUCAUGGAAUAAUAAUUCAAUUU